GAUGGUGCUUGCACUAUCACUUAGCGGCGGACGGGUGAGUAAUGCUUAGGAAUCUGCCUAUUAGUGGGGGACAACAUCUCGAAAGGGAUGCUAAUACCGCAUACGUCCUGCGGGAGAAAGCAGGGGAUCACUUGUGACCUUGCGCUAAUAGAUGAGCCUAAGUCGGAUUAGCUAGUUGGUGGGGUAAAGGCCUACCAAGGCGACGAUCUGUAGCGGGUCCGAGAGGAUGAUCCGCCACACUGGGACUGAGACACGGCCCAGACUCCUACGGGAGGCAGCAGUGGGGAAUAUUGGACAAUGGGGGGAACCCUGAUCCAGCCAUGCCGCGUGUGUGAAGAAGGCCUUAUGGUUGUAAAGCACUUUAAGCGAGGAGGAGGCUCUUUUGGUUAAUACCCAGAAUGAGUGGACGUUACUCGCAGAAUAAGCACCGGCUAACUCUGUGCCAGCAGCCGCGGUAAUACAGAGGGUGCAAGCGUUAAUCGGAUUUACUGGGCGUAAAGCGCGCGUAGGCGGCCAAUUAAGUCAAAUGUGAAAUCCCCGAGCUUAACUUGGGAAUUGCAUUCGAUACUGGUUGGCUAGAGUGUGGGAGAGGAUGGUAGAAUUCCAGGUGUAGCGGUGAAAUGCGUAGAGAUCUGGAGGAAUACCGAUGGCGAAGGCAGUCAUCUGGCCUAACACUGACGCUGAGGUGCGAAAGCAUGGGGAGCAAACAGGAUUAGAUACCCUGGUAGUCCAUGCCGUAAACGAUGUCUACUAGCCGUUGGGGCCUUUGAGGCUUUAGUGGCGCAGCUAACGCGAUAAGUAGACCGCCUGGGGGAGUACGGUCGCAAGACUAAAACUCAAAUGAAUUGACGGGGGCCCGCACAAGCGGUGGAGCAUGUGGUUUAAUUCGAUGCAACGCGAAGAACCUUACCUGAUCUUGACAUAGU
This 926-nucleotide ribosomal RNA is filed under the name uncultured bacterium. Its description in RNAcentral is "bacterial SSU rRNA". It matches the Rfam family "Bacterial small subunit ribosomal RNA", at positions 72 to 990 of the family's 1533-position model. The record is from RNAcentral.